AGAACACUCGAGUUCAUG
This 18-nucleotide small nuclear RNA is filed under the name Arabidopsis thaliana (thale cress). RNAcentral's name for it is "snRNA_14310". The record is from RNAcentral. Lineage: Eukaryota; Viridiplantae; Streptophyta; Magnoliopsida; Brassicales; Brassicaceae.